GAUUGUUAUAAUGCGGUGCUUAAUCACAAACACGAGGACACUCUUCAGGUCUCACCUCACUGGGUUGUAAACUUUAAUACAUUCUCACGUCGCGUGUACGGUCCAUCGUGCUCGGUCUGGUUACAAGGCAGUGUUUCCCAAUAACAGUCCGUGUGACUCACGGAACUAAACAAUAGUUCCUACUUAUAGUUCCUAUUGUUACAAUGAUUUGCUCAAAAGACACCUUUGUGAACUUUCUAAAUGUUGACAAUUGUGCUGUUUUAAAAGAAUUCACAGCAAAGCUCUAUUGUAUAGAGCAGUAAAAGAGUGUAUAACACGUUACUCCAAGAAUCCUACCUCAUGUGUGAUGAAAGAGUCCGUUAUGACUAUUACUAUUAACGUUGCACGCGCGGGAGACGUGGUAGCGCCAAGACCCGCCCUACGAAGCAGCUCAUUGCAUGGCUCACGAUUGAUUAGACUUUUCACCUCGAGUGGUUAAGGUUAGGAUAGCGGAUUGGUCAGGGGAUAGGACCUGAACAAAUAAAAAUGUUGUUAUCUAGAAUACAGGGCUUUUAAAAAGAAUGUAAUAGUAUAAAGGAAAUAUAAUCUGUGGGUAUACUCCAGUCCAGCGGUGGCGGUAAUACAACAACAAGUUAUCAACCGCCAGAUAAAAAUAGAAGAAGAAGAAGAAGAAGGACUGGAGGGGGCGUGUCUUGGCGCCAAUUCGUAAUUUCGUUGGGGUGAGAGAAGUGCGUCGGUAACUGCUGCUGCACCUGUUGGCUUUUGCCCCUGCCACGAAGAGAAAAACAAAGUGCUGGCAAAAAAGAGGCUACGGGUUCCCACUCAGAAAAUUGAAGGACCUGAGCUCCCCUCCCCCAAAUGAGCAAUCUGAAAUUCAUUUCCAUCGAUGAAUCCAUCACCUGACGGGGGACAUGCAACAGGCCGCAACACAGCUGGACCACCACCCUAUGGAUCCAGGCCGGGUCAGAGAGCUUCAGACUCUCUGCGACUUAAUUGGAGAGAGAUCUGGUGGCAGCCUAGCUUCACCAUCAGGCCAGCAGGAGCUGUUUCCUGGGAGCGGCAUAUUCAUCUCAUCAUUCCGCCUGGCUGCCAUGAAUCACGCAUCAAAACCAAAUUGCAUGAGUCUGUUUCAUGCACUUUUUGAUAAUUUCUUCACUGUUGAGGAGUGUCAAAAUGCAGUGCCCUUUGGUCACCCUGGCAACAACCCCUCAGGAAAGGAAGGAAAGCAGGUCCUUGACUGUAAAAAAGUUGACUGAAUCCUAAAUGUGCAACUCUACCGGACUGGGAACCAAUUGAGGAGGCCAAGCUAUGUGGACCGCGAUCUCUCUCUCUCUUUUGUGUGUGUGUGUGUGUGUGUGUGUUACACAAAUGCAGUUUUCAAUAUUGAGUAUUGUUUUUAGUUGUUUCUAAUUAAUAAAGAUAAUUAAUAUUUAAA
Gasterosteus aculeatus aculeatus (three-spined stickleback) is the source of this 1435-nucleotide non-coding RNA. The record is from RefSeq and is a predicted model, not a curated record. Lineage: Eukaryota; Metazoa; Chordata; Actinopteri; Perciformes; Gasterosteidae.